Calidris pugnax (ruff) is the source of this 1026-nucleotide long non-coding RNA. RefSeq lists it as uncharacterized. Lineage: Eukaryota; Metazoa; Chordata; Aves; Charadriiformes; Scolopacidae. The transcript has 3 exons. The record is from RefSeq and is a predicted model, not a curated record.
AAUAAAAUGUAAAUAGCAGUAUUAUUAAGACAAUUUCCCCCCAAAAAAGCCACAACUUCUGAGUGUUCUUUGAAAUUCAGUAAAAAUGCUUUUUCAUCUGUUGUUUGGGUGCGCUGAUUUCAGAAACCCAUCACAUCAUUAGCUUAUCCUCAUCAAAAGGCUUUUAUCACAGAAGUGUUGCCUCCAGAGGAGCAGCAGUCCAAGAACACCAUCCCCACGCUCCACGGAGAGGCUGGAAGAGGAACUGCCCCAAGCUGAGCUGCCAAAGGAUGGGAUUUCUACUCCAUUAGAGAAGACGGUUCUUUCUCAAACUGCACAGCUGCUGAGUUUAGACAGAUCACCUGAGAGACCUGGGGAGUUCCUCACUGGAUUGUUCAAGACCACUGGCCUCAAGAAACAAAGCAAACCACCCCUUAAACCAACUUUAAUGUUAAGCUGCCAAGGCAGGCAGUACUCCCGCCCAAGUUCAAGAUGUGAUUACUGACAGCUCAAGAACAGGGGAUUUCUUCCAGCCACAGACCUUUAUGUACAGCUGAGCACACAGAUGAGCACCCAGAACAACUACUGUGGUUGCCACUUUUCUCCAGAAUAGCUAAGUCUGCGAGCCAAAAAAUGUAAGUCACACUGCACAGGUAGUACUUAAAUUUGGAGAUCUUCAAAUACUGUAUAAAUUGUAGGCUUAAGGUACACAGACCUGCUGUACAGUAUGGUGAAAAGCAGUCUUUCCUUUCUGGAAUACCCAUUUUUAAAGAAAGGUAGAACUCAAAUGCUUUAAAAAAUUUGAAAACAGAGAAGGCAAACUUUUCUUCUUCAAAAGCAUAAAAGAGAAGUCAAUCUUAUGUCAAAAGACAGACCCUAGAGGCAUCAACUGCAUUUUAUUUUGAUGACAAAGAGAAGCCUGAAGAAUGGUAACAGACAUUUUGAAGGUUAUGCCUUUGCAAAAGAAACAAGAGAAGACACAGGAUACAACCUGAGAAAAAAACUUUUCAAAAAUUGUACUUGUUGUGUGUGUAAAGUACAUGCACC